AAGCGGUGGAUGAUGUGGUUUAAUUCGAUGCAACGCGAAGAACCUUACCUGGGCUUGACAUCCCGAGAAUCCCCUGGAAACAGGGGAGUGCCUUCGGGGAGCUCGGAGACAGGUGCUGCAUGGCUGUCGUCAGCUCGUGUCGUGAGAUGUUGGGUUAAGUCCCGCAACGAGCGCAACCCUUGUCUUUAAUUGCCAUCAUUGAGUUGGGCACUUUAAUGAGACUGCCGGUGACAAGCCGGAGGAAGGUGGGGAUGACGUCAAGUCCUCAUGGCCCUUAUAGGUGGGGCUACACACGUCAUACAAUGGCUGGUACAAAGGGUUGCCAACCCGCGAGGUGGAGCCAAUCCCUAAAAGCCGAUCGUAGUCCGGAUCGUAGUCUGCAACUCGACUACGUGAAGUCGGAAUCGCUAGUAAUCGCGGAUCAGCAUGUCGCGGUGAAUACGUUCCCGGGUCUU
RNAcentral lists this ribosomal RNA (455 nucleotides) under uncultured Anaerolineaceae bacterium. RNAcentral describes it as "bacterial SSU rRNA". It matches the Rfam family "Bacterial small subunit ribosomal RNA", at positions 927 to 1382 of the family's 1533-position model. Lineage: Bacteria; Bacillati; Chloroflexota; Anaerolineae; Anaerolineales; Anaerolineaceae. The record is from RNAcentral.